CCUACGGGAGGCAGCAGUGAGGAAUAUUGGUCAAUGGACGAGAGUCUGAACCAGCCAAGUAGCGUGAAGGAUGACUGCCCUAUGGGUUGUAAACUUCUUUUAUAUGGGAAUAAAACGUUCCACGUGUGGGAUUUUGUAUGUACCAUAUGAAUAAGGAUCGGCUAACUCCGUGCCAGCAGCCGCGGUAAUACGGAGGAUCCGAGCGUUAUACGGAUUUAUUGGGUUUAAAGGGAGCGUAGGUGGAUUGUUAAGUCAGUUGUGAAAGUUUGCGGCUCAACCGUAAAAUUGCAGUUGAAACUGGCAGUCUUGAGUACAGUAGAGGUGGGCGGAAUUCGUGGUGUAGCGGUGAAAUGCUUAGAUAUCACGAAGAACUCCGAUUGCGAAGGCAGUUCACUGGACUGCAACUGACACUGAGGCUCGAAAGUGUGGGUAUCAAACAGGAUUAGAUACCCCUGUAGUC
RNAcentral lists this ribosomal RNA (460 nucleotides) under uncultured bacterium. RNAcentral describes it as "partial 16S ribosomal RNA". It matches the Rfam family "Bacterial small subunit ribosomal RNA", at positions 338 to 795 of the family's 1533-position model. The record is from RNAcentral.